This 462-nucleotide ribosomal RNA is filed under the name Streptococcus mitis. RNAcentral's name for it is "bacterial SSU rRNA". It matches the Rfam family "Bacterial small subunit ribosomal RNA", at positions 28 to 474 of the family's 1533-position model. Lineage: Bacteria; Bacillati; Bacillota; Bacilli; Lactobacillales; Streptococcaceae. The record is from RNAcentral.
GACGAACGCUGGCGGCGUGCCUAAUACAUGCAGGUAGAACGCUGAAGGGAGAGCUUGCUCUUCUGGAUGAGUUGCGAACGGGUGAGUAACGCGUAGGUAACCUGCCUGGUAGCGGGGGAUAACUAUUGGAAACGAUAGCUAAUACCGCAUAAUAGCAGUUAUUGCAUGAUAACUGUUUGAAAGGUGCAAUUGCACCACUACCGGAUGGACCUGCGUUGUAUUAGCUAGUUGGUGGGGUAACGGCUCACCAAGGCAACGAUACAUAGCCGACCUGAGAGGGUGAUCGGCCACACUGGGACUGAGACACGGCCCAGACUCCUACGGGAGGCAGCAGUAGGGAAUCUUCGGCAAUGGACGGAAGUCUGACCGAGCAACGCCGCGUGAGUGAAGAAGGUUUUCGGAUCGUAAAGCUCUGUUGUAAGAGAAGAACGAGUGUGAGAGUGGAAAGUUCACACUGUGACG